Molecule: ribosomal RNA, 781 nt
Filed under: uncultured Staphylococcus sp.
Lineage: Bacteria; Bacillati; Bacillota; Bacilli; Caryophanales; Staphylococcaceae
Description: bacterial SSU rRNA
Rfam family: Bacterial small subunit ribosomal RNA
Source: RNAcentral
GGACGAGAAGCUUGCUUCUCUGAUGUUAGCGGCGGACGGGUGAGUAACACGUGGAUAACCUACCUAUAAGACUGGGAUAACUUCGGGAAACCGGAGCUAAUACCGGAUAAUAUUUUGAACCGCAUGGUUCAAAAGUGAAGGACGGUCUUGCUGUCACUUAUAGAUGGAUCCGCGCUGCAUUAGCUAGUUGGUAAGGUAACGGCUUACCAAGGCAACGAUGCAUAGCCGACCUGAGAGGGUGAUCGGCCACACUGGAACUGAGACACGGUCCAGACUCCUACGGGAGGCAGCAGUAGGGAAUCUUCCGCAAUGGGCGAAAGCCUGACGGAGCAACGCCGCGUGAGUGAUGAAGGUCUUCGGAUCGUAAAACUCUGUUAUUAGGGAAGAACAUAUGUGUAAGUAACUGUGCACAUCUUGACGGUACCUAAUCAGAAAGCCACGGCUAACUACGUGCCAGCAGCCGCGGUAAUACGUAGGUGGCAAGCGUUAUCCGGAAUUAUUGGGCGUAAAGCGCGCGUAGGCGGUUUUUUAAGUCUGAUGUGAAAGCCCACGGCUCAACCGUGGAGGGUCAUUGGAAACUGGAAAACUUGAGUGCAGAAGAGGAAAGUGGAAUUCCAUGUGUAGCGGUGAAAUGCGCAGAGAUAUGGAGGAACACCAGUGGCGAAGGCGACUUUCUGGUCUGUAACUGACGCUGAUGUGCGAAAGCGUGGGGAUCAAACAGGAUUAGAUACCCUGGUAGUCCACGCCGUAAACGAUGAGUGCUAAGUGUUAGGGGGUUUCC